This 46-nucleotide non-coding RNA is filed under the name Schistosoma mansoni. The record is from RNAcentral. Lineage: Eukaryota; Metazoa; Platyhelminthes; Trematoda; Strigeidida; Schistosomatidae.
GCACUGCUGAGGAGUCCCAUAAUAGGACGAAACGGUCGUUCAGUGC